RNAcentral lists this ribosomal RNA (600 nucleotides) under Marinobacter sp. Its description in RNAcentral is "bacterial SSU rRNA". It matches the Rfam family "Bacterial small subunit ribosomal RNA", at positions 39 to 633 of the family's 1533-position model. The record is from RNAcentral. Lineage: Bacteria; Pseudomonadati; Pseudomonadota; Gammaproteobacteria; Pseudomonadales; Marinobacteraceae.
GCGGCAGCUUACACAUGCAGUCGAGCGGUAACAGGGGGUGCUUGCACCCCGCUGACGAGCGGCGGACGGGUGAGUAAUGCAUAGGAAUCUGCCCAGUAGUGGGGGAUAGCCCGGGGAAACCCGGAUUAAUACCGCAUACGCCCUUUGGGGGAAAGCAGGGGAUCUUCGGACCUUGCGCUAUUGGAUGAGCCUAUGUCGGAUUAGCUAGUUGGUGGGGUAAAGGCCUACCAAGGCGACGAUCCGUAGCUGGUCUGAGAGGAUGAUCAGCCACAUCGGGACUGAGACACGGCCCGAACUCCUACGGGAGGCAGCAGUGGGGAAUAUUGGACAAUGGGGGCAACCCUGAUCCAGCCAUGCCGCGUGUGUGAAGAAGGCUUUCGGGUUGUAAAGCACUUUCAGUGAGGAGGAAAACCUUCUGGUUAAUACCCAUGAGGCUUGACGUUACUCACAGAAGAAGCACCGGCUAACUCCGUGCCAGCAGCCGCGGUAAUACGGAGGGUGCAAGCGUUAAUCGGAAUUACUGGGCGUAAAGCGCGCGUAGGUGGUUUGAUAAGCGAGAUGUGAAAGCCCCGGGCUUAACCUGGGAACGGCAUUUCGAAC